Molecule: ribosomal RNA, 468 nt
Filed under: uncultured bacterium
Lineage: Bacteria
Description: partial 16S ribosomal RNA
Rfam family: Bacterial small subunit ribosomal RNA
Source: RNAcentral
GACGAACGCUGGCGGCGUGCUUAACACAUGCAAGUCGAACGGAAAGGCCCUGCUUUUGUGUUGUGCUCGAGUUGCGAACGGGUGAGUAACACGUGAGUAACCUGCCCUUUACUUUGGGAUAACUUCUGGAAACUGUGGCUAAUACCGCAUAGCAGCUCCUGCUGCAUGAUGUUUGCUUGAAAGUUUCGGCGGUUGCGGAUGGAGUCGCGGCUUAUUAGCUUUUUGGUGGGGGAGUGGUUUACCAAGGCUUUGACGGGGAGCCGUCCUGAGAGGGUGACCGGCCACAGUGGGACUGAGAAAGGGGCAGGACGGCAACGGGAGGAAGCGGUGGAAAAUAUUGCAAAAAGGGCGGAAGGAUGAUGCAGCAACGUCGGGUGCGAGAUGACGGCUGUAGGGGUGGAAACAGCGUGCGCCUGUGAAGAAGAGUGAGUGACGGUAAUGGGUAAAGAAGCACCGGCUAACUACGUG